CUGAUGCAGCCAUGCCGCGUGCGGGAAGAAGGCCUUCGGGUUGUAAACCGCUUUUGUCAGGGAAGAAACGCGCUGAGCUAAUACCUCGGCGUAAUGACGGUACCUGAAGAAUAAGCACCGGCUAACUACGUGCCAGCAGCCGCGGUAAUACGUAGGGUGCAAGCGUUAAUCGGAAUUACUGGGCGUAAAGCGUGCGCAGGCGGCUUUGCAAGACAGAUGUGAAAUCCCCGGGCUUAACCUGGGAACUGCAUUUGUGACUGCAUGGCUGGAGUGCGGCAGAGGGGGAUGGAAUUCCGCGUGUAGCAGUGAAAUGCGUAGAUAUGCGGAGGAACACCGAUGGCGAAGGCAAUCCCCUGGGCCUGCACUGACGCUCAUGCACGAAAGCGUGGGGAGCAAACAGGAUUAGAUACCCUGGUAGUCCACGCCCUAAACAAUGUCAACUGGUUGUUGGACGGCUUGCUGUUCAGUAACGAACCUAACGCCUGAAGUUGACCGCCUGGGGAGUACGGCCGCAAGGUUGAAACUC
RNAcentral lists this ribosomal RNA (526 nucleotides) under uncultured bacterium. RNAcentral's name for it is "bacterial SSU rRNA". It matches the Rfam family "Bacterial small subunit ribosomal RNA", at positions 383 to 902 of the family's 1533-position model. The record is from RNAcentral.